Molecule: long non-coding RNA, 1043 nt
Organism: Scylla paramamosain (green mud crab)
Lineage: Eukaryota; Metazoa; Arthropoda; Malacostraca; Decapoda; Portunidae
Exons: 5
Source: RefSeq, a predicted model, not a curated record
UUGUAUUUUCUGUACAGAAGCUCUCCACCUCAAGCGCUGGAUGUUGGUGUGUGGUGUCCUGGUGAGGCUAGAGGGCAGCGGAGUCCUAUCCUUAACCUUCAGUUUUUGAUUUUCGAAUCGUCAUUGUAGAAAAAAAAAAAAAAUGUUCAUGUGUCUAAGAUAAUCUCAAGUUGAUUGUGACUUCAGUCAGAUACCGAACAGCCUCGAAACAGCGUACCGAAGCGGUGCGACUCACGCCAACCAGCCUGCCAGCCACCGCUCAGCAGUGUGCCGCUUGUGCCGAAUGGUGUGGUUGCGUGUUGAUAUAUUGCUUUCAAGAACACGUAUUUGUCUUCAAGAUGAAAGUCUAUCUGAAGCUAGUAUCCAUCCCUCCAGAAUGUGUGGUGGCAGCGAAGACUUACGUUGGUAGUGAGUUGAGGACCUGAAGAGUCGCGACGCAGCCAGGACCCUAAUGGAGGGAAACAAAGAACAUAAAGGGCAAAGAAACACAGGCAAAACUAAUUCAUAAGCUUCAUCACCAGAACACCAGUCCUUUGUGUUGGAGGCUGUGUUGAAGGCAUGAGAGGCAUCAGUUGUAGCAAUGGGAUUCUGGCGAAGGGGAGGUUGGGCUUCCUUGCGACGGAGUGCUGGCGAGGAACGUGGUGAGGAGUGAGGAGAGUUGCGGGUGUCUAGCACAGUCAAGCCUGGGUGGGGACGGCAGGCUCGCUGCUUGAUGGUUCCAGCAUUCUCAUUUGCAAAUGGCAAAGACUCUGAGUCGGUGCUGGAGGUAGACUGAAAAUAGACAUGGUUUUUGUGAGGAUUCUGCUGGCACAAGAAACCAUUCAUAUUAUCCUUCGUUUUCCUCUACAUAUUUUCUCUAAUGAAGUAUGCAAGGCUGAUUGAUGCAAGUACCUCAUAUGUGAAAGUUGUAUGCCAUAUGAUGUACAAAAAGAAUAAUAUUAGUCAGUGCUUGGUUGAAUUCAAAGGAGCAAGCAACAAAAUUAACUAAAUAUUACAUGGUGAACUGUAUCUUUUAAAUCUGUAAAUAAAGUAUUACAAGUAAA